Molecule: transfer RNA, 70 nt
Filed under: Nesiotites hidalgo
Lineage: Eukaryota; Metazoa; Chordata; Mammalia; Eulipotyphla; Soricidae
Description: tRNA-Gly
Source: RNAcentral
AUUCUUUUAGUAUAAUCAGUACCACCGACUUCCAAUCGGUCAGCCCUAGUACUAAAUCUAGGAAAGAAUA